CGUCACGGCAGCCGCAGCCACGGCAUGAUCAGCAAACACCAGUUGGUCGACCAAUGAUUAUCCCAGAAGCAUCAACAGUCUCUGUGUGAGCUGCCAAAUAUGGUGAAGUCCAAGCUGUGUAACCUGCAUGACAGGUCCAACGAAGAGGUCCUACUACACCAUGAAGCAGCAGAGGCGAUAUAUGCAGCAGCCGUGACCCCUCAUCUGCUUCUGCUUCAUCUUAUUCCUCAACCCCAUCCUCUAAAAACACCAACGACUUCUGCUCCUCUCCCCAACGGAGCGCUCCCCUUCACCCUAAAUUGAGGCCCGUCCCAAGUAUUACCCUAGAUUAUUGUGUUUUCAACAAAUGCUUUAAAAAUAGAUUUUGAUGUUCCUCAUACAAGCCCCCACGGCACCUUUUGCUCUAAAUACUUUGUGCUGAACUGCCCAAAUGUCUGUUUUUAUUUACGAUUUGUUGAAAUCAAGGCUGUGAACGUAAAUCUGCGUAUUCCAUGAACUGGUGAAAUAAAAGUGGAGUGGAUUGUAUGUGUGUUUUCAUUAAAAGUCGUUGAAAGCAUUUAAACACAGAAUGUAAUGA
This is a long non-coding RNA of Xiphias gladius (swordfish), 577 nucleotides long. RefSeq lists it as uncharacterized. The transcript is spliced from 3 exons. Lineage: Eukaryota; Metazoa; Chordata; Actinopteri; Istiophoriformes; Xiphiidae. The record is from RefSeq and is a predicted model, not a curated record.